UCUGAGUUGACCCCGGCAGUCUCCUAUGAGUCCCCGGCCGAACCGCUGGCAACAUAGGAUAAGGGUUGCGCUCGUUGCGGGACUUAACCCAACAUCUCACGACACGAGCUGACGACAGCCAUGCACCACCUGUGCAGGGCCCCGAAGGACACCGUAUCUCUACGGCUUUUCCCUGCAUGUCAAGCCCAGGUAAGGUUCUUCGCGUUGCUUCGAAUUAAGCCACAUGCUCCGCCGCUUGUGCGGGUCCCCGUCAAUUCCUUUGAGUUUUAGCCUUGCGGCCGUAGUCCCCAGGCGGAGCACUUAUCGCGUUGGCUUCGGCACCGAGGGGGUCGAUACCCCCGACACCUAGUGCUCAUCGUUUACGGCGUGGACUAC
This 375-nucleotide unclassified non-coding RNA is filed under the name uncultured Actinomycetes bacterium. RNAcentral describes it as "uncultured actinobacterium contains 16S-23S intergenic spacer region". The record is from RNAcentral. Lineage: Bacteria; Bacillati; Actinomycetota; Actinomycetes.